AAAGCUGACUGGGGAGGGAAUGGCCAUGGACUCCCAUUUGUCAGCUUCUGCUUUCUUCCUGGCUCUAG
This is a microRNA precursor of Cricetulus griseus (Chinese hamster), 68 nucleotides long. The record is from Ensembl. Lineage: Eukaryota; Metazoa; Chordata; Mammalia; Rodentia; Cricetidae.